Molecule: ribosomal RNA, 164 nt
Filed under: uncultured bacterium
Lineage: Bacteria
Description: partial 16S rRNA
Rfam family: Bacterial small subunit ribosomal RNA
Source: RNAcentral
UAGGGAAUCUUCCACAAUGGGCGAAAGCCUGAUGGAGCGACGCCGCGUGUGUGAUGAAGGGUUUCGGCUCGUAAAACACUGUUGUAAGAGAAGAAUGACAUUGAGAGUAACUGUUCAAUGUGUGACGGUAUCUUACCAGAAAGGAACGGCUAAAUACGUGUCAG